This 450-nucleotide ribosomal RNA is filed under the name uncultured bacterium. RNAcentral's name for it is "partial 16S ribosomal RNA". It matches the Rfam family "Bacterial small subunit ribosomal RNA", at positions 354 to 796 of the family's 1533-position model. The record is from RNAcentral.
GUGGGGAAUUUUGGACAAUGGGCGAAAGCCUGAUCCAGCCAUGCCGCGUGCAGGAUGAAGGCCUUCGGGUUGUAAACUGCUUUUGUACGGAACGAAAAGACUCUGGUUAAUACCUGGGGUCCAUGACGGUACCGUAAGAAUAAGCACCGGCUAACUACGUGCCAGCAGCCGCGGUAAUACGUAGGGUGCAAGCGUUAAUCGGAAUUACUGGGCGUAAAGCGUGCGCAGGCGGUUAUAUAAGACAGAUGUGAAAUCCCCGGGCUCAACCUGGGAACUGCAGUUGUGACUGUAUAGCUAGAGUACGGCAGAGGGGGAUGGAAUUCCGCGUGGAGCAGUGAAAUGCGGAGGUAUGCGGAGGAACACCGAUGGCGAAGGCAAUCCCCUGGGCCUGUACUGACGCUCAUGCACGAAAGCGUGGGGAGCAAACAGGAUUAGAAACCCUAGUAGUCC